CUGAAUUCGGGUCAUCGGUCGGGGCAGCAAACCCCAUUCACCCACUGAGCCACCUCACAAACCAUUCAUCAAGCCACCUCUAGGUGUGACACCCUCUUCCAUCCUAAGGACAAGCCUGAUUAUGACAUUGGAGAUGGAAGAAACACUGGUCACCAAAGGCACGUUUCCUAUCUCCCUGCUGGGAGGAAAGCAGUUGGGCAGCAUUUAUGUUUGAGGUAGACUGCAAAAACAUUUGUUCCCCAACAGAGAGAAGCAGCGGUGGAGACUCCAGAGGGAGAGAGAGAAAAUGUCCCCGUGGUGGAAUGGGGACGGAAUCUGGAGCCAUCACAGAUGACAAGCUGUGUACUCCUGGUUCCUGGCACAGAACUUCCAGGAUUAGGGGAGGGUUCAGCUGCAAAGCAUGAGAAGGAGGCUGCGCACCAGGCCAGGAGGGAAUCCUACCAGCCAAUGGGGAAGGGCAAGAGGAGCUACUUGUCUACAAUCCAUCCGUGGGCUUCAGCUGGAGGCUUCUGGGCAGUUACCAACGCCAAGGAAGGCGGAGCCCUCAGUAAUGAUUGACAUUGGCUGCUUCCAUGACUCCCGCUGUAGCCCCAGGGUGGACCUAGGGCUUCUCCUGUGAAUCCGCAGCUAAGGAGACUCCAGGCCACCAAAAACCCAAGGAAGGAGUCAAGACUGGGGGCGAUGAUCAUAUCAGUUCGAAGGUGGCAGACAGGAUGCCUCUGGGGUGCAGUUUAAGAGACAGACACAACUUAGGAGCCAAUGAAAGCUUGUUGUGAAUGACAGGCUCUGUCAGCGAGGCAGAUCAGAUUCUGGUCGGAUGGGCAACCAAUCAGUGAAACAGAUGCACCUGCCCAGCUGCAAAUGGAGGAGGAAGCUAGGACAGAUGUGUUUGUUAAACAAGGAGCCUGCUGCUCUAUUCCAGAACGUCCUUAUAGACUAAGAAUGCAUUCUCCGUCAGAAAGAUGCAGUUUGGUUCCUGCGCACACUACCACACUGCAGUUUUCUCUAUUUGAUCAUUUCCCCUUCCACAGUCCUUUAUCGGAUACAAAGUAACCGGUGUAUGUGCACAAGCAUAUUGAGUGGUUCUUUUUCUUUUUUAAACUAAAUGACCAAUGCUCCAUUUGGGUUGCCGUCAGGUGGUCUGGGGGACAGCGCUGUUUCUGUGAAAAUAUCCCCCCCCCCCACUUCCAUCAGCGGCACAAUCACUUAGCUCUGGUUCCAGUAAAAGUUGUUUUGUUCUCGUUGUUUUAACCAAGGACCCAACAACAUAAAACUCCUUGCAUGCCUCGUUCA
Molecule: long non-coding RNA, 1293 nt
Organism: Peromyscus californicus insignis
Lineage: Eukaryota; Metazoa; Chordata; Mammalia; Rodentia; Cricetidae
Exons: 2
Source: RefSeq, a predicted model, not a curated record